Molecule: long non-coding RNA, 133 nt
Organism: Amblyraja radiata (thorny skate)
Lineage: Eukaryota; Metazoa; Chordata; Chondrichthyes; Rajiformes; Rajidae
Exons: 2
Source: RefSeq, a predicted model, not a curated record
GCUGGGUGACAGUGUGAACCGUGAGGGGAAUGCUAUGAGAAUGCAGGGUGACUUGGACAGGUUGGGUGACUGGGCAGAUGCAUGGUAGAUGCAGUAUAAUGUGCCUAAUUGUGAGGUGAUCCACUUAGGUGGC